AUUGAACGCUGGCGGCAGGCCUAACACAUGCAAGUCGAGCGGUAACACAGAGGAGCUUGCUCCUUGGGUGACGAGCGGCGGACGGGUGAGUAAUGCCUGGGGAUCUGCCCGAUAGAGGGGGAUAACUACGGGAAACUGUAGCUAAUACCGCAUAACGUCUACGGACCAAAGUGGGGGCUCUUCGGACCUCAUGCUAUCGGAUGAACCCAGGUGGGAUUAGCUAGUUGGUGAGGUAAUGGCUCACCAAGGCGACGAUCUCUAACUGGUUUGAGAGAAUGACCAGUCACACUGGAACUGAGACACGGUCCAGACUCCUACGGGAGGCAGCAGUGGGGAAUAUUGCACAAUGGGCGCAAGCCUGAUGCAGCCAUGCCGCGUGUGUGAAGAAGGCCUUCGGGUUGUAAAGCACCUUCAGCGGGGAGGAAGGGCCACUGGUUAAUACCUAGUGGCAUUGACGUUACUCGCAGAAGAAGCACCGGCUAACUCCGUGCCAGCCGCCGC
This 501-nucleotide ribosomal RNA is filed under the name uncultured bacterium. RNAcentral's name for it is "bacterial SSU rRNA". It matches the Rfam family "Bacterial small subunit ribosomal RNA", at positions 30 to 518 of the family's 1533-position model. The record is from RNAcentral.